RNAcentral lists this long non-coding RNA (1125 nucleotides) under Homo sapiens (human). Its description in RNAcentral is "non-protein coding lnc-DAAM2-9:8". Lineage: Eukaryota; Metazoa; Chordata; Mammalia; Primates; Hominidae. The record is from RNAcentral.
GGCUUCUCCCUGGGUGGGGCAGGGCCUCUGAUUGGAGGAGGCCUGCCAGAAGGGUGGGGCGAUGGGCGUGGCUAACGGGAUAACUGCCAGAGCAGAAGACAGUUGGCAGUUAUUUCGCAACCUUCAUCUGUUCCUGGAAGAUACCCGUAGCCUGCCUUCCUUCUUGACAGGCUGAUUUAGGGGUGCUCCCCAAGAAGAUCAGGACUGCUGAAAGAAUGAAGAAGAACUUACUUGGCCUAGGAUGUGGCUAGAGAACGGAGCGCACUUUCACUUACCUGGCAAGGUGGUUUUGGAAGUUUCCACGGAAGCCUUCCCAGGGCCGCUGCUGCCCGUCCUCGCCUAGAAGAAUUCCAUUCUCCCAUCCCAGGAAGGAGAGUGCCCUGCGUGCCACGAAAGAGCCCAGGACCCACAGGACAAAUACGUCACUGGCAGACCUGCCUUCGCCAGCGCCAGCCCAUCUCUGAAACCUCCAGCAUUUGUGCCCCGGUCCGGCCCCUCCCAGGCCUGACUCUUUCCGAACGGUCACUGCGCAGGAUCAAGCUACAAUGAAGAGGAGGGAGGCAGUCUGCGCGCACCGCCAUUUUCUAGGAACUGGGAAGCCCCCCCACCCCUUAGGAAGAUCCAUCCCUGUGGAACCUUGCCCAGGCUUACCAGCCUUUGCUGAGGUUGAUCUAUUGUCCCUCCUUGUCCCCAUCAAAAUAUCCAGCACUCCACCUUCAGGGAGUAGACUUGACCCUCAAAUAGCAAGUUCAGCCUUCCCAGGUCUAGGUUCCCUGGGAGGUCAAGAUUCGUCUGGUUCCUUAGUACAGAGGGCUAGCUGUGAGUUGGAAUCCCCCUAUGAGCUUUAGAAUCAGUCAAGAGGAAUUGGGCCCCUUCCCUUCAUCCCUCUUCUUUUCCCUUUUUGUCCCAGAGCUCAGCUCUGACUCAAAAGUUUUUCCAUUUACCAUCAACAUGGAAACUUGGCUCCUCACGUAGGUAUAUUAUCCCCCUUUUGUACAUGGUCUUGUUGAUCCAAACUCCCUUUCUGUGAAAGAGGCCUGUGGGGCUCAAGAAGCCUGGUCAGCCAGCCAGGCUAGUCCCACAUACCUCAGAACCAGUUUAAUAAAGGCUCUAUGUCAUUCUUUU